RNAcentral lists this ribosomal RNA (406 nucleotides) under uncultured bacterium. RNAcentral describes it as "bacterial SSU rRNA". It matches the Rfam family "Bacterial small subunit ribosomal RNA", at positions 917 to 1322 of the family's 1533-position model. The record is from RNAcentral.
GGGCCCGCACAAGCGGUGGAGCAUGUGGUUUAAUUCGAUGCAACGCGAAGAACCUUACCUACUCUUGACAUCCAGAGAACUUUCCAGAGAUGGAUUGGUGCCUUCGGGAACUCUGAGACAGGUGCUGCAUGGCUGUCGUCAGCUCGUGUUGUGAAAUGUUGGGUUAAGUCCCGCAACGAGCGCAACCCUUAUCCUUGUUUGCCAGCGAGUAAUGUCGGGAACUCCAGGGAGACUGCCGGUGAUAAACCGGAGGAAGGUGGGGACGACGUCAAGUCAUCAUGCCCCUUAUGUCUUGGGCUUCACGCAUGCUACAAUGGCCGGUACAGAGGGCUGCAAUACCGCAAGGUGGAGCGAAUCCCAAAAAGCCGGUCUCAGUUCGGAUUGAGGUCUGCAACUCGACCUCAUG